This 21-nucleotide non-coding RNA is filed under the name Mus musculus (house mouse). Lineage: Eukaryota; Metazoa; Chordata; Mammalia; Rodentia; Muridae. The record is from RNAcentral.
UUCAUCAGAGAUCUGAAUGAG